RNAcentral lists this ribosomal RNA (305 nucleotides) under uncultured bacterium. RNAcentral describes it as "bacterial SSU rRNA". It matches the Rfam family "Bacterial small subunit ribosomal RNA", at positions 337 to 659 of the family's 1533-position model. The record is from RNAcentral.
UCCUACGGGAGGCAGCAGUGGGGAAUAUUGCACAAUGGGGGAAACCCUGAUGCAGCGACGCCGCGUGAGCGAUGAAGUAUUUCGGUAUGUAAAGCUCUAUCAGCAGGGAAGAAAAUGACGGUACCUGACUAAGAAGCCCCGGCUAACUACGUGCCAGCAGCCGCGGUAAUACGGAAGGUCCGGGCGUUAUCCGGAUUUAUUGGGUUUAAAGGGAGCGUAGGCGGGCCGUUAAGUCAGUUGUGAAAGUUCGGGGCUCAACCCCGGAAUUGCAGUUGAAACUGGCGGUCUUGAGUACACGCAGGGAA